UGGAAAAUGUUGUCUCCUAGCUUACGAUG
Molecule: non-coding RNA, 29 nt
Filed under: Rattus norvegicus (Norway rat)
Lineage: Eukaryota; Metazoa; Chordata; Mammalia; Rodentia; Muridae
Source: RNAcentral